RNAcentral lists this ribosomal RNA (710 nucleotides) under Streptomyces sp. DRL5. RNAcentral's name for it is "bacterial SSU rRNA". It matches the Rfam family "Bacterial small subunit ribosomal RNA", at positions 43 to 770 of the family's 1533-position model. Lineage: Bacteria; Bacillati; Actinomycetota; Actinomycetes; Kitasatosporales; Streptomycetaceae. The record is from RNAcentral.
GGUGCUUACACAUGCAAGUCGAACGAUGAACCACUUCGGUGGGGAUUAGUGGCGAACGGGUGAGUAACACGUGGGCAAUCUGCCCUGCACUCUGGGACAAGCCCUGGAAACGGGGUCUAAUACCGGAUACUGAUCCUCGCAGGCAUCUGCGAGGUUCGAAAGCUCCGGCGGUGCAGGAUGAGCCCGCGGCCUAUCAGCUAGUUGGUGAGGUAACGGCUCACCAAGGCGACGACGGGUAGCCGGCCUGAGAGGGCGACCGGCCACACUGGGACUGAGACACGGCCCAGACUCCUACGGGAGGCAGCAGUGGGGAAUAUUGCACAAUGGGCGAAAGCCUGAUGCAGCGACGCCGCGUGAGGGAUGACGGCCUUCGGGUUGUAAACCUCUUUCAGCAGGGAAGAAGCGAAAGUGACGGUACCUGCAGAAGAAGCGCCGGCUAACUACGUGCCAGCAGCCGCGGUAAUACGUAGGGCGCAAGCGUUGUCCGGAAUUAUUGGGCGUAAAGAGCUCGUAGGCGGCUUGUCACGUCGGUUGUGAAAGCCCGGGGCUUAACCCCGGGUCUGCAGUCGAUACGGGCAGGCUAGAGUUCGGUAGGGGAGAUCGGAAUUCCUGGUGUAGCGGUGAAAUGCGCAGAUAUCAGGAGGAACACCGGUGGCGAAGGCGGAUCUCUGGGCCGAUACUGACGCUGAGGAGCGAAAGCGUGGGGAGCG